UGGAGCAUGUGGUUUAAUUCGACGCAACGCGAAGAACCUUACCAGGGCUUGACAUCCCCUGACCGCGUAUGAAAGUACGUUUUCACCCUCGGGUGACAGGGAGACAGGUGGUGCAUGGUUGUCGUCAGCUCGUGUCGUGAGAUGUUGGGUUAAGUCCCGCAACGAGCGCAACCCCUAUUGUUAGUUGCCAUCAUUCAGUUGGGCACUCUAGCGAGACUGCCGGUAAUAACCGGAGGAAGUGGGAUGACGUCAAAUCAUCAUGCCCCUUAUGACCUGGGCUACACACGUGCUACAAUGGUUGGUACAACGAGUUGCGAGUCGGUGACGGCGAGCUAAUCUCUUAAAGCCAAUCUCAGUUCGGAUUGUAGGCUGCAACUCGCCUACAUGAAGUCGGAAUCGCUAGUAAUCGCGGAUCAGCACGCCGCGGUGAAUACGUUCCCGGGCCUU
RNAcentral lists this ribosomal RNA (447 nucleotides) under uncultured Streptococcus sp. RNAcentral's name for it is "bacterial SSU rRNA". It matches the Rfam family "Bacterial small subunit ribosomal RNA", at positions 933 to 1382 of the family's 1533-position model. The record is from RNAcentral. Lineage: Bacteria; Bacillati; Bacillota; Bacilli; Lactobacillales; Streptococcaceae.